AACAAACGCUGGCGGCGUGUCUUAAGCAUGCAAGUUGAGCGGCAAGGAGGAGAGAUCCUCCCUAGAGCGGCGGACUGGUGAGUAACGCGUGGGUAAUCUAUCUUAGGCAUGGGGAUAGUCACUAGAAAUAGUGGGUAAUACCGAAUAAGUUCCAUAAGGGGAGGACUUAUGGAAGAAAGGUGCUACGGCACUGGCCUUAGGUGAGCUCGCGUCCCAUUAGCUAGUUGGUGAGGUAAAGGCCCACCAAGGCGAUGAUGGGUAGCCGGCCUGAGAGGGUGUACGGCCACACUGGGACUGAGAUACGGCCCAGACUCCUACGGGAGGCAGCAGCUAAGAAUAUUCCGCAAUGGACGGAAGUCUGACGGAGCGACGCCGCGUGGAUGAGGAAGGCCGAAAGGUUGUAAAGUUCUUUUGCUAGGGGAGAAUAAGUGUGGGAGGGAAUGCCUGCACGAUGACAAGGACUAGCGAAUAAGUCCCGGCCAACUACGUGCCAGCAGCCGCGGUAA
Molecule: ribosomal RNA, 506 nt
Filed under: uncultured bacterium
Lineage: Bacteria
Description: bacterial SSU rRNA
Rfam family: Bacterial small subunit ribosomal RNA
Source: RNAcentral